RNAcentral lists this ribosomal RNA (253 nucleotides) under uncultured bacterium. Its description in RNAcentral is "partial 16S ribosomal RNA". It matches the Rfam family "Bacterial small subunit ribosomal RNA", at positions 524 to 776 of the family's 1533-position model. The record is from RNAcentral.
UACGUAGGGUGCAAGCGUUGUCCGGAAUUAUUGGGCGUAAAGAGCUCGUAGGCGGUCUGUCGCGUCUGCUGUGAAAACCCGGGGCUCAACUCCGGGCUUGCAUUCGAUACGGGCAGGCUAGAGUUCGGUAGGGGAGUCUGGAAUUCCUGGUGUAGCGGUGAAAUGCGCAGAUAUCAGGAGGAACACCGGUGGCGAAGGCGGGUCUCUGGGCAACUACUGACGCUGAGGAGCGAAAGCGUGGGGAGCGAACAGG